UACGAAGGGGGCUAGCGUUGCUCGGAAUCACUGGGCGUAAAGCGCACGUAGGCGGCUGUUCAAGUCAGAGGUGAAAGCCUGGAGCUCAACUCCAGAACUGCCUUUGAAACUAGACAGCUAGAAUCAUGGAGAGGUGAGUGGAAUUCCGAGUGUAGAGGUGAAAUUCGUAGAUAUUCGGAAGAACACCAGUGGCGAAGGCGGCUCACUGGACAUGUAUUGACGCUGAGGUGCGAAAGCGUGGGGAGCAAACAGG
Molecule: ribosomal RNA, 253 nt
Filed under: uncultured bacterium
Lineage: Bacteria
Description: partial 16S ribosomal RNA
Rfam family: Bacterial small subunit ribosomal RNA
Source: RNAcentral